Long non-coding RNA from Corvus hawaiiensis (hawaiian crow), 846 nucleotides. RefSeq lists it as uncharacterized. The record is from RefSeq and is a predicted model, not a curated record. The transcript is spliced from 4 exons. Lineage: Eukaryota; Metazoa; Chordata; Aves; Passeriformes; Corvidae.
AGCAAAUUUGCUCCUAAGCAGUCAAAAUUCUCAUCCAGAAUCAGCACUUGUCUCUCUUUAAGGCUACAAGGAAACCUUACUAUUUGCCCUCUAGGUAUUUGUCUACUCCUCUUGAAGUUCAACUCUUCAGGUUGUGUUGGGUAAGAAAAAGAUGUGUCUGUGUAUUUGUCGGUCUACAAAGCCACAAGAAAUACAGCAAUUGUCAGUAGCAACAGGGAUGGACUUUCAACAAAAUCAGCUGUUCUGAGACACACUGGAGAGAAGAAUCAUGUCGCGUACAAAAACUCAGCAGUCUGUUUAAAAAUGAAGAAGUCGUGACACCUAGCGAAGAGAUGCGUGACAAAAUCACAUGCUGUAACGGAGAAAUGGAAACUGAAUUACUUGAAUAUACAAGAUUUGCUUCAUCUGAAGAUUUAUUUUACUACACGUAUUAGUACCUGUAACAUCCCCAGUUUGCCGUCUUGGGUGUAAUUAACACUUAUACCACCGGAGUGUCUGGAUAUAAGGCAAGUGAAUGUAAAAACAUCAGUUCUGUCCAAAAUGUUCCAGUUUCUAUCCCUUGAAUCAUCAGCAUGUGACCUGUUCUGUGCCAAUAUUAAUAACCAUAGCUCAUGGCUUUCAAACAACUCAAACUACUUAAAAAUUAAUUCUGUUUACAGUGCCUUCUAGAGGAAGUAUUUUGUAGAAGUGAAUAACUCAAACUGACUAGUGGCUACCCACAAAAUAUGACUAUCAGUAACAAAAUGAAUCAUUUAGAACUUAGUUGGCAAGGAAUGGACACAUUGUUGGAGAAAAUAUCAAGUAGAAAUCAGAUCCAGCAGCUGGGAGUCCUGGGUUCUUUUUCCA